GAUGAACGCUGGCGGCGUGCUUAAUACAUGCAAGUCGAACGGAGUAUGUAGCAAUACGUACUUAGUGGCGCACGGGUGAGUAACACGUAGGCAACCUACCCUUCAGUGGGGGACAACAGAGGGAAACUUCUGCUAAUACCGCAUACGGCCUUGUACUGGGAUGUACGAGGAGAAAGGAUUUAUUCGCUGAGGGAUGGGCCUGCGGCCUAUCAGGUAGUUGGUGGGGUAAAGGCCUACCAAGCCUGCGACGGGUAGCCGGACUGAGAGGUCGACCGGCCACACUGGAACUGAGACACGGUCCAGACUCCUACGGGAGGCAGC
This 321-nucleotide ribosomal RNA is filed under the name uncultured bacterium. Its description in RNAcentral is "bacterial SSU rRNA". It matches the Rfam family "Bacterial small subunit ribosomal RNA", at positions 28 to 352 of the family's 1533-position model. The record is from RNAcentral.